UGGGGAAUUUUGCACAAUGGGGGAAACCCUGAUGCAGCGACGCCGCGUGAUUUAGAAGGCCUUCGGGUUGUAAAAAUCUUUUUUAUGGGAUGAAAAUGACAGUACCAUAAGAAUAAGGUCCGGCUAAAUACGUGCCAGCAGCCGCGGUAAUACGUAUGGACCGAGCGUUGUCCGGAAUCAUUGGGCGUAAAGGGUACGUAGGCGGCCCAGUAAGUUAGAAGUGAAAUAAUAUAGCUCAACUAUAUAAAGCUUUUAAAACUGCUAGGCUUGAGAGAUGGAAGGGAAAGUGGAAUUCCUAGUGUAGCGGUGAAAUGCGCAGAUAUUAGGAAGAAUACCGGUGGCGAAGGCGACUUUCUGGCCAUAACCUGACGCUGAGGUACGAAAGCGUGGGUAGCAAACAGG
Molecule: ribosomal RNA, 402 nt
Filed under: Bacteroidota bacterium
Lineage: Bacteria; Pseudomonadati; Bacteroidota
Description: Bacteroidetes bacterium partial 16S ribosomal RNA
Rfam family: Bacterial small subunit ribosomal RNA
Source: RNAcentral